GGGGUUGUGGCUCAAUGGUAGAGCAUCUGCUUGCCCUGCAGAAGAUUCCAGGUUCAAUCCCUGGUAUCUCCA
This is a non-coding RNA of Gekko japonicus, 72 nucleotides long. The record is from the annotation of a RefSeq genome assembly. Lineage: Eukaryota; Metazoa; Chordata; Lepidosauria; Squamata; Gekkonidae.